UUUCGAUGACGGGGAUGAAUAAAUGGAAAAUCGCGAGAUUCGUUUCGAACGCACCGGCGACACGAGGGGGGCCGGCGUGAAAAAACGAAAGGGCAAGAACAGUGGCGAAAUAUACGGGAGGAAGAAAGAAGUAAGGAUUCGGGGGUGACCCGGUAGUAGAAAAGGAGAAGAGGCGGCGUGAUAAAGAGGGAAGAAGAUAGAGAGAGGGAGUGCGCGCGUGAUCUCUCGGUGGCCGUGUCGCUGCGAAUCGUCAGAAUCGGUCGGUUGUACAGAGACGAGUAUAACCUAUAUCCUGAACGCGGCGCUGUUCCAUUCUCCGUGCCUCCUCCCUGGCGGAUGGCGGCCGCACCUCCUCCUUCUCGUCGAUUUUAAUCUCGUUAGCGAACACGUGCGCGCCCCGCGCCUACAGACCACUAUACGACGACCUACCGUAUCGGGGCUUCGCCAAUCUGGUUUUGUCUAACAGGAUUCUCGAGCGACCGAGGGUUGAUAAAAGGCUGCGUACCGAGCGGGCGCGGCGCGAAUCGCAGGAGGAGUUGCUCCGCUCGAGGUGUGGGCGCUCGUGCAGCACAGGCAAUAACAGCAGACGACCUCGUCAUCGUCUUCUAUUCUGUCGUCCUCGAACGUGCGUGCGUGAACAAAGAAUAAGGAGAGAAAAGACCGAGAAGGAGGGACACAUCAAGCAAAGGAAAAGAGAAUAGGAAGAGGUAGAUGGGUCUCGGUUCUAGAGAGAAUCGAGGAAGAGAAGGUUGAAAAAAGGAAAAGAGGCAGAUAGAGAGAAGCUACCGGCCGAGGUUCGUGCGUGUGCGUACAUGUGUUGAUGUGUCGCUGGCGUCGUCGAGCCCUAGCAGGAGUGCUCCGUCGCCGCGUGUGCCGACGUCGUUGAGAAUACGGGGAUUCCGGAGACACGUUCGUCGGAUCUACGUUUACGUCUAGUCGCUGCCUAUCUCCGUGCACGUUGUCGUCGUUGUCACCGACGUCGUCGCCGUCGUCGUCGUCGCCGUGGACAAGUGGUGGUGAAUCGUGCUAGUGGCGGUAGUAGUGGUGGUGCGGACGAUCGGGAAAGAUUUGAUCGGCUUGGCCAGGACGAGAGGGAAGGA
Bombus impatiens (common eastern bumble bee) is the source of this 1100-nucleotide long non-coding RNA. RefSeq lists it as uncharacterized. The record is from RefSeq and is a predicted model, not a curated record. The transcript has 2 exons. NCBI's taxonomy places the organism in Eukaryota, Metazoa, Arthropoda, Insecta, Hymenoptera, Apidae.